RNAcentral lists this non-coding RNA (155 nucleotides) under Anaerotruncus colihominis DSM 17241. RNAcentral's name for it is "glmS glucosamine-6-phosphate activated ribozyme". It matches the Rfam family "glmS glucosamine-6-phosphate activated ribozyme aptamer". Rfam says of the family: This entry contains a glucosamine-6-phosphate activated ribozyme that is found in the mRNA for GlmS. GlmS is an enzyme that uses fructose-6-phosphate and glutamine to generate glucosamine-6-phosphate. The ribozyme catalyses self cleavage of the glmS mRNA that is thought to regulate GlmS activity. Lineage: Bacteria; Bacillati; Bacillota; Clostridia; Eubacteriales; Oscillospiraceae. The record is from RNAcentral.
AAUCUGUCAGAAGCGCCAGAACCGCCUAAGAGCGGUUGACGAGGCGGGAGGAGGAUCGAAUGUUCGGCGGAUGCCUCCCCGUCCCCGCUUCCGGACGCAGCCUGUCCGAAAACUUCCGGGCAACCGGAUCGACAGACGGACCGGCGGGAAGCAAA